RNAcentral lists this ribosomal RNA (398 nucleotides) under uncultured bacterium. RNAcentral's name for it is "bacterial SSU rRNA". It matches the Rfam family "Bacterial small subunit ribosomal RNA", at positions 29 to 425 of the family's 1533-position model. The record is from RNAcentral.
AUUGAACGCUGGCGGCGUGCUUAACACAUGCAAGUCGUGCGGUAACAGGCGUAGCAAUACGUGCUGACGAGCGGCGAACGGGUGCGUAAUACAUGGGAAUCUGCCCUUUAGUGGGGAAUAACCCGGCGAAAGCCGGGCUAAUGCCGCAUAAGAUCUUCGGAUGAAAGCGGGGGAGUCGUAAGACCUCGCGCUGAUGGAUGAGCCCAUGUCGGAUUAGCAGUUGGUGAGGUAACGGCUCACCAAGGCGACGAUCCGUAGCUGGUCUGAGAGGACGGCCAGCCACACUGGGACUGAGACACGGCCCACGACUCCUACGGGAGGCAGCAGUGGGGAAUAUUGGACAAUGGGCGAAAGCCUGAUCCAGCGACGCCGCGUGUGUGAAGAAGGCCUGCGGGUUG